Molecule: ribosomal RNA, 427 nt
Filed under: uncultured bacterium
Lineage: Bacteria
Description: partial 16S ribosomal RNA
Rfam family: Bacterial small subunit ribosomal RNA
Source: RNAcentral
UGGGGAAUAUUGGACAAUGGGCGAAAGCCUGAUCCAGCCAUGCCGCGUGUGUGAAGAAGGUCUUCGGAAUGUAAAGCACUUUAAGGUGGGAGGAAGGGAAUUAACCUAAUACGUUAGUGUUUUUACGUUCCCGACAGAAUAAGGACCGGAUAACUCUGUGCCAGCAGCCGCGGUAAUACAGAGGGUGCAAGCGUUAAUCGGAAUUACUGGGCGUAAAGCGCGCGUAGGUGGUUUGUUAAGUUGGAUGUGAAAUCCCCGGGCUCAACCUGGGAACUGCAUUCAAAACUGACUGACUAGAGUAUGGUAGAGGGUGGUGGAAUUUCCUGUGUAGCGGUGAAAUGCGUAGAUAUAGGAAGGAACACCAGUGGCGAAGGCGACCACCUGGACUAAUACUGACACUGAGGUGCGAAAGCGUGGGGAGCAAACA